This 468-nucleotide ribosomal RNA is filed under the name uncultured bacterium. Its description in RNAcentral is "partial 16S ribosomal RNA". It matches the Rfam family "Bacterial small subunit ribosomal RNA", at positions 28 to 507 of the family's 1533-position model. The record is from RNAcentral.
GACGAACGCUGGCGGCGUGCUUAACACAUGCAAGUCGAACGGUGAUGCUCCAGCUUGCUGGAGUGGAUCAGUGGCGAACGGGUGAGUAACACGUGAGCAACCUGCCCCAGACUCUGGAAUAAGCGCUGGAAACGGCGUCUAAUACUGGAUACGAAACUGGCCCGCAUGGGCAUGGUUUGGAAAGGUUUUCGGUUUUGGAUGGGCUCGCGGCCUAUCAGCUUGUUGGUGAGGUAAUGGCUCACCAAGGCGACGACGGGUAGCCGGCCUGAGAGGGCGACCGGCCACACGGGGACUGCGACACGGCCCAGACUCCUACGGGAGGCAGAAGUGGGGAAUAUUGCACAAUGGGCGCAAGCCUGAUGCAGCGACGCCGCGUGGGUGAUGACGGCCUUCGGGUUGUAAACCUCUUUCAGCAGGGAAGAAGCGAAAGUGACGGUACCUGCAGAAGAAGCACCGGCUAACUACGUG